Molecule: ribosomal RNA, 605 nt
Filed under: uncultured archaeon
Lineage: Archaea
Description: bacterial SSU rRNA
Rfam family: Archaeal small subunit ribosomal RNA
Source: RNAcentral
UACGGGGCGCAGCAGGCGCGAAAACUUUACAAUGCGGGAAACCGUGAUAAGGGGACACCGAGUGCCAGCAUCAUAUGCUGGCUGUCCGGAUGUGUAAAAUACAUCCGUUAGCAAGGGCCGGGCAAGACCGGUGCCAGCCGCCGCGGUAACACCGGCGGCCCGAGUGGUGAUCGUGAUUAUUGGGUCUAAAGGGUCCGUAGCCGGUUUGGUCAGUCCUCCGGGAAAUCUGAUAGCUCAACUAUUAGGCUUUCGGGGGAUACUGCCAGACUUGGAACCGGGAGAGGUAAGAGGUACUACAGGGGUAGGAGUGAAAUCUUGUAAUCCCUGUGGGACCACCUGUGGCGAAGGCGUCUCACCAGAACGGACCUGACGGCAAGGGACGAAAGCUAGGGGCACGAACCGGAUUAGAUACCCGGGUAGUCCUAGCCGUAAACGAUACUCGCUAGGUGUCGGCCACGGUGCGACCGUUGUCGGUGCCGUAGGGAAGCCGUGAAGCGAGCCACCUGGGAAGUACGGCCGCAAGGCUGAAACUUAAAGGAAUUGGCGGGGGAGCACCACAACGGGUGGAGCUUGCGGUUUAAUUGGAUUCAACGCCGGAAAUCUUA